CCCCCGAAGGAUUCAGUCAUAUGAAGUCUGCCUGGAUCCCAGUGGACUGUGUUUGGAAAUGCAGCUAAGAAGAUGAAGGACGUUGGACAGCAGUUAUUCAGUUCACAAGUACUUGAUGGACAUAACUCUUUGACCAUGUCGCCUAGACAACCUCAUGCUAAUAGAGCCACUCGGCCAGACAGACAAGAAGCUCAGGCGGCUUUGUAUCAAGGCUCAGAGGCCGAGGCCGCCGUGAUGACCACGGCCACGUGUGUGAAGUGCAAGGCUGUUCACCAGAUCCCUCUUCAGGAUUUGAAAAAGGGGCCGGGGCAGAGCCACAAGGAGGACAGAUACGUGUGCUUCCAGUGCAGCCUUGGCGUGGCUUCUCCCCACUUUCCUUUCGGGAACAGUGAUCCCAGCGCGACUCGCGUAGGAAAUAAAGCCGACACCAUCGCCAGUCCUGGCAAUAACAAAUUCAAGGUAAGGAACUUUAAACCAGGCAAAUACUAUUGUGAUAAAUGUCGCUUUUCCACGAAGGACCCUCUGCAGUACAGGAAGCACAUGCUUCAGCACGAAGAGAUCAAGUUCAUUUGUUCUCACUGCAGCCACAUUUCCUACACGAAGGGGGAGUUUCAGAGACACUUGGUGAAACACACAGGCAUCUUCCCUUACCGAUGCGAGUACUGCGACUAUGGUGCUAUUAGGAACGACUAUAUUGUCAAACACAGGAAGAGAGUUCACGAGAGGGCUGGCGGAAAGCGGCAGCCCAAAGUCCUGGCCAAGCUGGAGCCGAAAAGGACCAGCGCAUCCAAACCAAACGCGGAGCUUUCCAAAGCCUCCGAUCCAGGCCCCGCACUGCAGAGCAAGUUGUCCGAUCAGCUCUCCAGGUUCUCCCUCCAGACAAACAAAGACCGAGUGCGCAGCAUCACGCUCGUACCCGAGCCGAAGGAACACCAAAAAGACGUGGUGUGUGUUCCAAACAAAGGGACCCUGUUGGAGCCCAGUGAAGUCAGCGUGUUGGAGAACAAGAGCGUGGAGGUGGAAGUGUUAUCCCCGGCCACAGAGCCCGUGCAGCCCGGGAUGCCGUUGACCGUGGUGGCGCCAGCGGAGCUCGUGGUACCGGCCAACUGUCUGGCCCAGCUGAUAGAUGUGAAGGUUGUCAAUGGAACACAGCAGCUUGUUCUGAAGCUGUUUCCUUUGGAAGAGAAUAAUGGCCUAGAAGCUGGCGGGGGUGAUGGAGGUCAUUCUGAACGGAGGACUAACGAGAAGGGUUCAGAUGAUCAAGGGAAAAUGCUCCCUGCAGAACACACCAAGUCCCUGACAACGGAAGGGGGUGUUGGAGAACCUGGAGGCCUUGAUAGCCUUCAGUCCGUUCAGAAACAAGUUAAAAAUGUGAAAUGGGUACGGUCUUACGAUGUGUUCAUGUCAGAUUCCAGUGUGUACCCCUGUGGAGAAUCCCUUCUCAAGUCUGCCAGAGUUGAGGAUUUGCAGAAAAAAAGUCAUAUGUAUCCACAUAGAACUCCUCUUCCUCCCGUUGCCUUACAAGGUCACUCUCCAUCAUCUAUAGUGAAAAACAGUGUUUUGUGUGGCCUUGGCACUGCCCCAAAUCCUUUUCCAUAUAAAGCUGCUGUUUCUUUUACUGAAGAUGGGAGGCAUUUGCACAGGGACCCCCAGAAGUUUCUUCCUCUGGCUGCAUCACCUGCAGCCAUUUCCUUCUCGGGAGAAAAGGGCUUUUUGCCCGUCAGUAAAAAUGACUUGGAAUCUAGAAGUGAGAUCAGUAUUCCUGUGAGAAUGGUUACAUCUAGGAGGCUGAAAGACAACCAGACAGAGGAAUAUAAGGCAGUUUCAAAUACAGGCCAGAUUUCCUCUCAUCGUAAAAGUGAAUAUUUACACAUAAACAUAACAGGAGAAGACAGAAUCAGAGCUCAGCCGCCUGGGGAUAAACUUUGGGAGUUAAAGAAUUCCGAAAGGACUAGUGACUCUUUCAGUGGCCCAGUCAUCUCAUCCGUAUUUUCUCUGAGCUCCGGAUCUGAAGACGUCCCUGAGGGCGUUAAGUGGAAUAGCUCCACAUCCAAAAUAAAGUCAAUUGAACUGCUGCGCAGAAAGAUCGCUCAGUUAAUUGAAUCCUGUGGCAAGCCUCCCUCCCUGGCUGCCAAUAAUGCACAUCGUCGCUCCGUAGGGCAAGCGGCAAAGGUAACUUCAAAAGCUAGCCCUGAAGGUAUUCCAGCAAUUAAUGUGGCACUUACUGGAGCUGGCUAUUCCACACACUCUCUCUCAAAACCUCAGGAUGACAGCGGUAUCAGUAGACAGCUUACCCGUCAGCACAUAUACCCACAGUUUGUAGAAGGCAGCCAUGGGAAAACCGAAAGCCAAGUAACCAGGAAGGCCCAUGUUGCGACUCCCGUGUUGAUCCCCAAAGGAGCCGUGUUGAGGGUUCUUAAUUCCUCUGAGGAUGCCCACAUCAUCGAGGCUACAUGUGAAGCGCCCGUCAGCAUCCCUUACAGUGAGACACAGUUAAUAAAACCCAUUCCGUUCUGCCCCGCGAAGCAGACAGAUUCAGACUUACAGUCUUCAGCAAGUGAAAGUGGGCCAGUAGACAUGUCCCACAGCCUCGACACAUCUCUUCGGCCUAAACCGAGAAAAGAGAGUGCUGUUGGUGGCGCCGUCCUGAAAAAAACUGGCCCUCUGCAUGGUCAGCAAGGAAGCGGUGAAUUGAGUAAGCAAGGGAAAGUGCCCUCCAGAAGUCUUCCCGUAAAUAAAAACAAAGCCAAGCAAGUAAAUUCAUCCAAGAAGAAAAGCAAAAUGCAGGCUGACCCUGGCCUCUGUCUCAAGGAUCCUUCAAUUUUUCAGGUUGCAAGACAGCUUCGACUGAUAGCCGUUAAACCGGACCAGUUGAUUAAAUGCCCCCGUCGGAACCAGCCCGUCAUUGUGUUAAACCAUCCUGAUGUUGAUUCACCGGAAGUGACCAAUGUGAUGAAGGUAAUAAACAAGUACAAAGGCAAUGUCCUCAAAGUCGUCUUAUCGGAGAGGACCAGGUGUCAAUUAGGCAUCCGACGGCAUCACGUUCGGCUGACCUACCAGAACGUGGAGGAAGCCAAUCAAAUAAAAAGGCAGAUGAUGUUGAAAAUGAAACUUAAAAAAGUCCACAAAAACAACUACCAGGUGGUGGAUUCCUUGCCUGAUGAUUCACCGUGUACAUUUAAGUGCUGGUUUUGCGGACGGCUGUACGAAGACCAGGAAGAGUGGAUGAGUCAUGGCCAACGGCAUUUGAUAGAAGCAACUAGGGAUUGGGAUGUUCUUUCUUCCAAGGGCAAAUAAGUGAAAAAUUGGUGUUUGAAGCAAAUUGGUUUUUUUUUUUUACUUUUAGUUUAUUCUGAUUAGGAUUGAUUUGUUGUUUUCCCAUCCCUAACUCAGUAGGAGAAAUAGAGGUUGUAGGAAUGGGAGGACCGUUAAUUGUUCAGAUCCCUUGUAGGAAUGUUGAGAACCAGGCGUCUGGUUUCGCCUGAUACCUGACUGGAACUCGGAAGGUAUUUGAAGCCCCUGAAGGAGCACAGAUUUAUGGACAUGCAUUUUUCUGGAGAGAAGUGAGACUUGCAACACAAUUUCAGUGGGACCUGAGACCUUUCUGUUUAGCAGCCCGGUUUCUGAGUGGAUACCAACCUCUUGUCAUCCAGGGAGAGGUCCUGCUUUCCCCAUUGCUCGCUUUGCUAGGAAGCAGCUCAGAACAUUCCUGCUCCCCUCUCCAUCAUCAGGUGUCAAGACUGAUGCUGAGCUGAACAGCACCUUCGUGUGCAUCAGAAAACAGCCCGCCCUCUUGGGCAAUACUCAGUUGGCAGAUGGAGCUUGGACUGCGUCUUAGUCCUUCCUUGCCCACUCAGCUGGGCCCCAACGGUCCUGCAGAAGGCGAACGGCUCAGACACACGGCAGCCCGGCCCUUCAGUGCUCCUCGCUGUGGCAUUCAGGCCUGUGCUGGGGCAGGGAAUGCCACUGGGGUUGUCACAGCUGAGGAAGACGCGAGAGAGAUUCCUGUUGCAUUGGGUAGUCAGAGAUGGAUAUUUCUUUUUCCCCACAGGGAAAGUCUUAGAUUACCCUCUGAUGGGGGUGAGAGGGGUGUUGCAGUUCUUCUGUGUCAUUGUUUCUCAUUACAGUAGUUAACGUCUUAUGUGUAAUUUGGGACAUGACCACUGAGUUGGUUAAUUUUCGUUGAAAUUUGAAAUUUGGAUUUUUUAUGUGUAUAUAUGUGUAUGUACACAUAUCAGUAUUUUUUACCAUAUGAAAACUAAUACCUAAUUUUCUGAUUUCCUAUUUUAUAAUGAAAUUAGGUGGUUUGGAAAAUAUAAAAUGUUUUAUAUUCUAGAAAUAACUUAUUUUGGAAGUACCUUUUUAUAAUGGUCUGAUCUCACUUUGAGCAAAUGAAAGCACAGUCGAGAGUGGGUCGGAUUUGUAUGAACAAACGGAGUGGCCACCCCGGCGAUCAUUUCAUCACAGGCCUUGGUCCCACACAUUUCCCGUCGGGGCGUUCUGAGCAGUGGAGCGCGCCUGCCUCGCUGCAUACAGGAGACCAUGCGCAGGUUUGCCCGUGUGUAGGUCUGUGCCCCUCCAACGUGAAAGGAGCCUCCUGAGGCAUUCAGAGAAGAGAAGGCUGUGAUUUUCUUUCUCCUCCUAUACCUCACUACAUAGUCGCAUCUUUCCUGAAAGCUUAGUCUGGCCUUUCGGGAGAGAGCCAUGAAUCGGGUCAGUGUUAUGUGUCAACAUGAAGUAUUUACACUUUGCAGCAUCAACCCUUUUGCAAGUAUUACCUAAAGCAGCUUACGUCCUUGUACAGAGCUCACGUUCAUGAGGGGGUUCAGAAUUACAGUACUUGUUCAGGAAUCAGGAAGGCUCCUGGGAGUCGUAAAAAGUGAGGAUGCAAAGACUGGCUGUCUUCCUUCCCUAUGUGAAGAGCAUUAGAAAAUAGCUUGUUAGCAUGUAGGUAAGUGUGAAAUGCGCUGUAGCGUCAUUUCUAACAAGAUUGGAGAAGGGAGCAGAGCUGGGUUGAGUAUUUGUGUGCUCUUUCUUGCCAUGAUUUUGAAGGACCUCCUUUCACUAAACUUUACUAAUAGUACUUAACUAAUGACAUCAUUUUACGCUUAUUUUUAACAGAUUUUCUUUUGGGGAGCAGAAAUGAGAUGAUCUUAUAUUUAUGAUAUGACAAAGAGUGAACGUUGUUUGUUUUUUCUAAUGACUUAAUAGAUUAUAUUUUACUCAAAUUUUUUCCCCAGCCCCAAACAAUUUUGUGAGCCCCUGUUCUGGGCCAAGUGCUGUUGAACUAAAUGGAACACAAUGUAUUAACCCUCCAAAGCCCCUGCCUCCUGCUCUGGGACCUCCCGUAGAAGCCGUCGCAGGAAGUGAAGGUGUGAUGCUGCCCCGCCUUUCGAAGACGGUGGGAACCUGUCAGUGUCAACGUGAGAAAAAAUAAAACCUUGCAUAGCCCGUUUCAAGCACCCCUAGAGGUUCUGUGUUAACUGUGUGCUGCUGCGCUUUGGAAACAUUUAUAUAGAGAUUUAGAAGUUGGAGUAAAUUUUGUUAAAUAAAGCAACUGUCAACAUU
Molecule: RNA transcript, 5568 nt
Organism: Eptesicus fuscus (big brown bat)
Lineage: Eukaryota; Metazoa; Chordata; Mammalia; Chiroptera; Vespertilionidae
Gene: ZNF518B
Gene name: zinc finger protein 518B
Exons: 2
Source: RefSeq, a predicted model, not a curated record